This 62-nucleotide transfer RNA is filed under the name Balaenoptera acutorostrata (minke whale). Its description in RNAcentral is "transfer RNA-Ser (AGY)". Lineage: Eukaryota; Metazoa; Chordata; Mammalia; Artiodactyla; Balaenopteridae. The record is from RNAcentral.
GAAAAAGUACCGCAAGAACUGCUAAUUCAUGCUCCCACACCUAACAACUGUGGCUUUUUCUA